AAAUGUUCUCGGCUUUUGGCUCAAAUCAAGAGUAGCACGUGUUCUUAUCAGUUUAAUAUCUGAUGUGUCCUCUAUCUGACAACAAUAUAGUCAACAGAUUUUGACUGGUUUGUUGGUUUGUUUGUUUUGAAACAAAGAUUCUUCUCCUUCUACUCCAUCCAUCCACCUGGAACUAUAGUGCCUCAGAGAAUGAUUCACGUCAU
Molecule: small nuclear RNA, 203 nt
Filed under: Meriones unguiculatus (Mongolian gerbil)
Lineage: Eukaryota; Metazoa; Chordata; Mammalia; Rodentia; Muridae
Description: U2 spliceosomal RNA (ENSMUGG00000021830.1)
Rfam family: U2 spliceosomal RNA (bases 1-110)
About the family: U2 is a small nuclear RNA (snRNA) component of the spliceosome (involved in pre-mRNA splicing). Complementary binding between U2 snRNA (in an area lying towards the 5' end but 3' to hairpin I) and the branchpoint sequence (BPS) of the intron results the bulging out of an unpaired adenosine, on the BPS, which initiates a nucleophilic attack at the intronic 5' splice site, thus starting the first of two transesterification reactions that mediate splicing.
Source: RNAcentral